UUAGUGUGUAUUUUUCACGAACAACAGCUCAUUUUGUUCUUGGGGUCGAAAUCCCCAAAGGCCUAGCUCGCAACAACAAAUAAUCGAUAGCUAUCGACCUUCACACCAUGUACCAAUAGUUCCUAACACUAGAAUCGAUAGAAAUCAACGUCUCACAUACUAAUUUUACAUGGACCAUCUCUACAGGCAUCAAAAGGUAAACAAACAACAAACAGGUAAAUAUUGGACGAGAUUAACGAAAAGUUACGUAUGGAUGGACUAGCCACCGCGCACUCAAACAUCCUAUGGCACCACCCAUUGUCAAAAACCUAGGCCACGGCAAGUCCGGAUAACGACCGGUUUAUCUCCCCUAGGGCAAAACUGCUACCCGGGCUUGGACCUCGGCCCCUUCAAGCCCGAUUUAAAAUCAGGAAAUAUGGCCUUAGAGAAGUGUAAACUUUGCGCUUGAAGCGGCUUAAUGGACACAUAAUAUUUCUCCUAAAUACCCUGCUGGAGCUCUAAGAGGACAAUAAGGGACGAAGAUUUUAACAAGAUAUCCCCUUGGCUGCUGGUCGAAAAAUUCAACAGAAAUUUGGGCCGAAAAUAACUUGGUCCCGUUUCUAAGUCGAUGUGAAAAUGGCGAAAGGUGGACCGGAGGACCAAGCCUUGCCUGAGCAACUGCGGACCGCGAAAAUAGGGAUGCCGCGUGUUGAAGAGCCCUGUGGUGAUUAGGACAAACAUAGGGAAGUUUAAUGGUCUUGGUAGCAGCUAGUGGAUGCUACGGCUCGUGGCAGGAAUCACAAAAGAAUUAAUAAGAAACUGUUAAGUGGCAUUGAUUUGUUAAAGAAUUUCCGUACACGACACUCGUAGAGUAAAGGGUACAUAGUAUUAGCUGAAAAGUAUAAGAACUGGUAGAAAAAACAUUUCUGACCCGUUGGUAAACAUAUAUAUUCUUUAUCAGGAUCAAAAGCCGAGUUGAUCUAGCGCUCCUUCUUAUUUUAUUUGUGUUAUUUUCAUUUUAACUUUUAAACAGUAACAGAUAUUUUCGGUGCAUGGUUAAAACUUUGUUUAGAUUCAAACCAAAGAAUUCGUCGAUACCAUAAAAUGCGUUCACUCAAACAAAUUUGUAUCAAAAAUCGCUUUAAAUACCCACAGAGUUCGCACGUACAUAUAUGUAGAAAAUGUAGGGUGAAUUUUCUUUAAUUCCUGUUGUUUUGAAUAUAAAAUAAGUUAGUUUAAGUUUGGUAAAAAAUUUUAUAUAUUAGUUAGUUUAAAUGAACAAUUAUUUUCCAAAAAAUCACCAUCUGUUUAUGAUUAGCAACAAAAAAUUAUUAAACUGGCUCCCUUAUCAAGGGAGUAAUCUACAGCAACUUAAAAAAAAAGUGGUUAAAUUAUUUACCAAACUAAAUACAGGAAAAAAACUGAUUACUGCAGACUUCAGUUUCUACUCUGACAAUUAAGCACCUGUUCCUUGAUUGAAAGAUGUUUAAAAGCACAUUCAGAUAGAAAAGUUCCUUUCCUAAGCAAAAUAAUUAUUGAUAAAAGUCCUAUUUUUGCAAAGCGACACCUAGACCGCCAAAAUUUAAAUAAUUUCCAGUGGUCUGAUUAAACUUUAAUAUUCGGGGCAGAUUUCAGUUUCUACUCUGACAAUUAAGCACCUGUUCCUUGAUUGAAAGAUGUUUAAAAGCACAUUCAGAUAGAAAAGUUCCUUUCCUAAGCAAAAUAAUUAUUGAUAAAAGUCCUAUUUUUGCAAAGCGACACCUAGACCGCCAAAAUUUAAAUAAUUUCCAGUGGUCUGAUUAAACUUUAAUAUUCGGGGCAGAUGGAAAAACAUAUGUAUGGCGCCCAAAAAAUACUGCUUUCGAUCCGAAGCAUACCAUUUAGACUGUUAAGCAUGGUGGCGGGAAUAUCAGCGCCUUUCUAUUAUUUUUUCCAUAUAUUUAUACAUAAAUAUAUAUAUAUAUAUAUAAAUAUAUAUGUAUACCAGUUGGUAUUGGACCAGUUGACAUGGUCCAAAAUACAUAUCCUCCUUAAAAACCGCAAAAGUGCCAACUGAAAACUAAAAAUGAUUAAAUAUUAAAAAAUACAAAAUAAAAAUGUAUAUAUACAAAUAUAUAUAUGUGUAUUUAUAUUAUGUAUAUAUAUAAUAUUUAUAUAAACUCGAUAAAGAGCACUACAUUUUAAAAAUAUCCGUAUGAAAGAACAAACUAAACCAAAACGAAAAAUGGCAAUCCCAUUUCAUGUUAAUAAAUCAAAUAUUUUAUCAAAGACACGAAAGAAAUUUUUCAGCGUCCAUGAUGAAAAUAUACAUAUUGAAAUCACCAAAAUCGCGAAAUGAUAAACCUCUGUAAAAACUCUGCUAAUAUAAGACAAUAAAACAUAUAAUAAUAGUCUCACAUAUUAUUUUGUUAGUGUUGCCAGCUUAAAAUCACAAAUAAUAAAGUCAAUAGGGGUUGAAUAUGACAUUUUAUUCAAUAGUUAGUUACUCAAAAUCGGUUUUUAAAUUAGUUUUAAAAAAAAACUAAAAGUAAUAAAAUUUACUGCGUAACUGAGUAAUAAAAUUAAUGGGCGUUGAAGCUUAAACGCAUCCCUCAUUAAAACACUUUUAAUAAUAAUAAAUAUAAAUUAAGUUGCCGGUGCUUUUGAUAGCGAGGAAACAUGAAUGCCUUCUCCCACAGUGUCCCACUGCUGUGGUAUUGGAGGAGCUGCGUUUUCCUGAGUGCAAUGUGCUCCCAACUCCCUAAUAAAUUGACGGUAACGAUGUAUAAGCGCAUCAUGAUAGUGGUUAUUUUUAAUAAUCCGUUCAGGGUUCGUAAAAUGAUUGCAACCAGUUGCGCCUUGUAUAAUUGAUCAAGUGGAAAAGUUCUGCAACUUAAGAGAUCCAGGUUAUACCAAGGACUGUGCUUACCGACUAGCGACCAUGCCGACAAAGUCGUCUCCAAAAUUUCAGUAAGGAACGGCUAAAUAUUCCCAAGUAUGUUGGAAAGAUGUAGAAUCGGUGUACAAAAAACUAUUCUUAAAAAAUAAAUGUACAAAACAAAAAAAUAUAUAUAUUAUAUAUAUGUAUAUAUAUAUUAAACAGUUCAAAAAUUCAGAAGUUUUUUAAUUUUUCGCUUAAUAUCAGCAGCAUCUUCCGGAGACGUUAGCUGAUUAAUAAUCUAAUUUCUGUGAGGUUCAUGGAUUCCUCAAUGUAAAGCCCAUCCUGUCGUACUUCAUCGCCUCCGGAAAACAAAAAGAGUGUUGUUCUGUUAAAAAUAAUAUAACGCUACCAAACUCUUGGAAACAACCUUCAGCCUGCCUAAGUCCGCAAGAAUUGCAUAUACAAGUUAAUCACAGAAAUAUUUCUACAUUUUUUCCGAGAAAUAUUGCAACAUUGUCGAUGGCAACAUUGCAACAUUUCAAUACAACGGUCAAGAGCCCGAAAGUUCAAUAACAUAAACACGCCAAGAACCCCCAAGUUCAAUAACAUAAACACACGCAUCCGGUCAGCAGCCACAGCGCAGUACCAAAAUGCCGAUUCUGCAAACCUUGCAGUUUCAGCCGCUCCACCAGAACUAGGCCACCGCCGCGGUCUCUUCCGCGACGUCGACGUCGCUGCCCCAACCCACAGCUUAGAUCAGGGAAUUUUUAAAUGAAUAAAAUCAGUCUCAAAUUGAACUCCGAAUAAAUCAAACGUUCAAAACUUA
Long non-coding RNA from Drosophila rhopaloa, 3665 nucleotides. RefSeq lists it as uncharacterized. The transcript is spliced from 3 exons. The record is from RefSeq and is a predicted model, not a curated record. Lineage: Eukaryota; Metazoa; Arthropoda; Insecta; Diptera; Drosophilidae.